This 74-nucleotide transfer RNA is filed under the name Geosporobacter subterraneus DSM 17957. RNAcentral's name for it is "tRNA_Gly_TCC". It matches the Rfam family "tRNA". From Rfam's summary of the family: Transfer RNA (tRNA) molecules are approximately 80 nucleotides in length. Their secondary structure includes four short double-helical elements and three loops (D, anti-codon, and T loops). RNAcentral also lists the same sequence under 5 other names. The record is from RNAcentral. Lineage: Bacteria; Bacillati; Bacillota; Clostridia; Peptostreptococcales; Thermotaleaceae.
GCGGAUGUAGUUCAAUGGUAGAACUUCAGCCUUCCAAGCUGAUAGCGUGGGUUCGAUUCCCAUCAUCCGCUCCA